GAUGAACGCUGGCGGCGUGCCUAAUACAUGCAAGUCGAACGGCAGCACGGGUGCUUGCACCUGGUGGCGAGUGGCGAACGGGUGAGUAAUACAUCGGCACGUACCUUAUCGUGGGGGAUAACGCAGCGAAAGCUGUGCUAUUACCGCAUACGCCCUGAGGGGGAAAGCGGGGGAUCGCAAGACCUCGCGCGAUUAGAGCGGCCGAUGCCUGAUUAGCUUGUUGGUGGGGUAAAAGCCCACCAAGGCGACGAUCAGUAGCUGGUCUGAGAGGACGAUCAGCCACACUGGGACUGAGACACGGCCCAGACUCCUACGGGAGGCAGCAGUGGGGAAUUUUGGACAAUGGGGGCAACCCUGAUCCAGCAAUGCCGCGUGAGUGAAGAAGGCCUUCGGGUUGUAAAGCUCUUUUGUCAGGGAAGAAACACCGGCUCUAACACAGUCUGGGAAUGACGGUACCUGAAGAAUAAGCACCGGCUAACUACGUGCCAGCAGCCGCCGUAA
This 501-nucleotide ribosomal RNA is filed under the name uncultured bacterium. Its description in RNAcentral is "partial 16S ribosomal RNA". It matches the Rfam family "Bacterial small subunit ribosomal RNA", at positions 28 to 523 of the family's 1533-position model. The record is from RNAcentral.